This 406-nucleotide ribosomal RNA is filed under the name Pneumocystis carinii f. sp. suis. Its description in RNAcentral is "partial small subunit ribosomal RNA". It matches the Rfam family "Bacterial small subunit ribosomal RNA", at positions 956 to 1325 of the family's 1533-position model. Lineage: Eukaryota; Fungi; Ascomycota; Pneumocystomycetes; Pneumocystales; Pneumocystaceae. The record is from RNAcentral.
GUAACCACGACAAUCUUACACUUCUUGCAUAUUAUUAUAUAUAUUAUAUAAUAUAUUUAAUAAUACAGGUGUUGCAUGGCUGUCUUUAGUUCGUGUUGUGAAAUGUGAGGUUAAUUCCGUUAACGAACGCAAUCCUUUUCUUUAGUUUUGUUAUUAUUAUUAUUUUUAAUUAAUUAGACUUAAAGAAGUAUCUUUCGAUAGGAAGGAAUAAUUAGGAUUAAGACAAGUCUUCAUGACCCUUAUGAAGUGGGCUACAGACGUGCCACAAAAAUUUCUACAAUAGGAUGCAAAGAUGUAUGUAAGUCAGAGCUAAACCAUGAAAGGAAAUUAAAGUACGGAUAAGAAUCUGAAACUCGAUUCUGNAAAGAAAUUCCCAAAACNAGNNUCNUUGNNGNANUUCCCAAAA